Molecule: ribosomal RNA, 301 nt
Filed under: uncultured bacterium
Lineage: Bacteria
Description: partial 16S ribosomal RNA
Rfam family: Bacterial small subunit ribosomal RNA
Source: RNAcentral
CAGCAGCCACGGUAAUACGUAGGGGGCAAGCGUUAUCCGGAAUUACUGGGUGUAAAGGGAGCGUAGACGGUUAAACAAGUCUGAAGUGAAAUGCCGGGGCUCAACCCCGGAGCUGCUCUGGGAACUGUAGAACUGGAGUGUCGGAGGGGUAAGCGGAAUUCCCAGUGUAGCGGUGAAAUGCGUAGAUAUUGGGAGGAACACCGGCGGCGAAGGCGGCUUACUGGACGACAACUGACGUUGAGGCUCGAAGGCGUGGGUAGCAAACUGGAUUAGAUACCCCCGUAGUCCCUGUCUCUUAUAC